AAGUCGUAACAAGGUUUCCGUAGGUGAACCUGCGGAAGGAUCAUUAUCCAUCCAAAACCAGCUGCGGUCGCGGCCCCACGCUUACCCGUGGCGGUACGCGCCGCACGUCUGCACCCUUUUUUUACGAGUACCUUCGUUCUCCCUCGGCAGGGCAACCUGCCGUUGGAACCAUACAAAACCUUUUUUUGCAUCUAGCAUUACCUGUUCUGAUACAAACAAUCGUUACAACUUUCAACAAUGGAUCUCUUGGCUCUG
Molecule: unclassified non-coding RNA, 255 nt
Filed under: Paraconiothyrium brasiliense
Lineage: Eukaryota; Fungi; Ascomycota; Dothideomycetes; Pleosporales; Didymosphaeriaceae
Also listed under: 1 other name
Description: partial internal transcribed spacer region
Rfam family: Eukaryotic small subunit ribosomal RNA (bases 1-46)
Source: RNAcentral